AGCGAACGCUGGCGGCAGGCCUAACACAUGCAAGUCGAACGAACUCUUCGGAGUUAGUGGCGGACGGGUGAGUAACACGUGGGAACGUGCCUUUAGGUUCGGAAUAACUCAGGGAAACUUGUGCUAAUACCGAAUGUGCCCUUCGGGGGAAAGAUUUAUCGCCUUUAGAGCGGCCCGCGUCUGAUUAGCUAGUUGGUGAGGUAAAGGCUCACCAAGGCGACGAUCAGUAGCUGGUCUGAGAGGAUGAUCAGCCACAUUGGGACUGAGACACGGCCCAAACUCCACGGGAGGCAGCAGUGGGGAAUCUUGCGCAAUGGGCGAAAGCCUGACGCAGCCAUGCCGCGUGAAUGAUGAAGGUCUUAGGAUUGUAAAAUUCUUUCACCGGGGACGAUAAUGACGGUACCCGGAGAAGAAGCCCCGGCUAACUUCGUG
This 432-nucleotide ribosomal RNA is filed under the name uncultured bacterium. Its description in RNAcentral is "partial 16S ribosomal RNA". It matches the Rfam family "Bacterial small subunit ribosomal RNA", at positions 29 to 507 of the family's 1533-position model. The record is from RNAcentral.